RNAcentral lists this long non-coding RNA (2732 nucleotides) under Rattus norvegicus (Norway rat). RNAcentral's name for it is "long non-coding RNA NONRATT017346". The record is from RNAcentral. Lineage: Eukaryota; Metazoa; Chordata; Mammalia; Rodentia; Muridae.
AGGAUAGUGUGUGACUCUUCCGCAGGGGGGAGGGGCUACCCAAGGUCUGACCACUGGGCAUCCCAGCCAGGCCUUGGCCUGUCAAGGGACAGGGCGAUUGUCAUCGUCAAGAUUCUCUCGGGUAACAUCUUUGAGGAGUGAUUAAGAGAGCCAUCCUCGUUGGGUGCCUAGGGCCUGGGUUUGAUGAGUAUUUGUACCCACAAGGUGGUUUGUAUCAAGUUUUUCACCAUGUGGCCAUACUGUCAGCUUUGGGGGUCUUUUGACUGGCACUCUUUGACAACCGAUUCUGUCUGCUCCCAAAGCACAAAAUCUGCUACGCAUAGUGAGUGGAGCCUUAGCACACAUUGUCCUUCCCAUCUGUGUCCAGCCCUGCCGAAAGCUUCUUUGAUGAGGUCCCCAGCCCUCUGUCCUCUUCUUCCCCAACCGACACCAGUAGACUAUAGGACCAUAGUUAACCAAGUCUCAGUCUCUCUCUCUCUCUCUCUCUCUCUCCCUCUCUCUCUCUCUCUCUCUCUCUCUCUUUACCUCCGACAUAUUUAAGUCUAUGAAACUUGAUGACGGUUUUCAACAUCUCUCAAUAGGUAACUCAGCUACAAAAAUAAUCAAAACCAGUGACCGUGAACCCGCGGCUCUAACGCAAAGCCAUGCAUGCCUCUCGUUCCUAUUGAAAUGUCCUCAUGAUAUGAAGCCAAAUAGUCCAUGUAGUAACAUGCUAUCCAAAGGUGGAAACAAAAGAAUGUAGCGACCCAGUGUUAAGAGUUCCAUUUGCUUCAGUUAAUUACUUACCUUCCUGUGGAAUAAUAUAUAUAUAUAUGAAUAUACGCUAUAUAUUUAAUAGGACCAUAGAUAGAUUAGUAUAACUUAGCUCACACAUGUGCACAUGUAGAGUGCUCUGCUGUUGCACAAGAAAGGGUGUGUGUGUGUGUGUGCGUGUGUUGGAGGUGGGUCUCAAUUCCAGCCAGCAUGAGACUGGCCAGGACGCAGUUUGAGAAAGUUACACUAGAUUGAAUAGCCACAGAAUCAGAAGAGGAGAAAAGGAACCGGGGAUUCUGUAGCAGACAAUGGGCUGGAUCCAUACAUGGUCCCUGUGAAUUCAUUUCUCAAAGAAAAAACGGCCAUGUCUGCCCCCACACAAAAAUACCCCACCACCACAAGCUCACCCAUUUGCAAGAUGGGGCAAUUGUUUUCCUCAGUGUGGUGAUUCAGUGUGGAGAUGUGUCCAUCGAGUAGGAAUUCGGUCACACCAUUUUCAAACAAUGUCAACAUAAUCCAGCUAUUGUUUUUCUCACUAUUUCUGUUGAAGGGAGCUGGGACACACACACACCCCCCCACCCGAAAAACAUCAGGACAGAUGCGAAGACCUGGGGGCGGGGGUUACUUUCCCAGUAGAAGUGGUGUGUUAUUUGUUUUAAAACUCCAAACGGAGAUCUUGGAAAUCUUUCAAAAAGACCAUUGAAUUUCUCAUUGCCUGAGAAGGACAUUUUUUAAAAGUCUUAAAUCUGGCUUUGUUUGCAUUGUUUGAGUUCAAGGGGCCUUAUUAUUGAAUGGCAUUGCACAAGCCUUUCUUUUUUGCAAGCAAACCAUUGUUAUUAGUUGUUCUCUAAAGGAAAUUGUGGAAACCAAUUGGCACCGGAGUCAUAAAUCCAUUUACCAAGUGUGGCUUCCGAGAAAUGUUGCAAUUCGGAAUGCACCAAGCCCGUGAAUUAUUGGGGAUUUGAAGAUUCCAAAUAAUAUUUAAAAAGAUGUCAUUUCCAGGCAACUUCAGGGGUCUUGCUUUUGGAAAUUCAACUCAAAAAUAAAACAGAAAGUAAAAAUAAAAUUACCGCAACAGCCCAAGCAAACUUUAGGCUUCAAAUAUUUGUCUGAACAUGUCUGAUUUAAACAUGUAGUAUUUGCCACAGGACAAACUGGUUUAUUUCCUAGCUAGAAGUUCCUACUUUUGCUUGUUCAUCAGGGCAUCUAUAGAAGGGUUUGUCUCAGUGUUGAAUUCACACAGCUUUGCGACCUGGUGCGUGCAUGACUCCUUAGGUACUGUAUUUCACUGUGUUGGUGUGUCUGAUGGACGUUUCAAGGUGGUCCCACAAAUAUAUUUUAUGUAGUGUGCCUUCAAAGAGAACCAUUUAUCUCUCUUCUCGUGUUGUCCCACUAAGUUACAUUUGGUGGUGGCCAGCCAAGUCCUGUGGGGUCUGAUCUGACUCAUUAUCCCGAGCUGAGAAAGUAACGGGAAUGGUUUUGCCCCAGUGAGACCCACACCGCUGGAGUAGGGACUUUGAGCACCUCCACUCUGGUGUUGACUGUCGAUGUAUUGAUAUUCUGCUCGUCUCCCCUUGGCGGAAAGGACUCUGAAAAAAAAAAUAGCAGCGUAAUCUCUUGGCUGUUUAUACUUUUUUAAACCUCCCCAUGCUGUAAAUAUUGUACACUCUGAGUAACCCCAGCUCUGUAACCUUGAUGCUCUGUAAGGUGAUAUUUGUAUAUAGCAACCUGGCCCAGUGAUGUUAUAUAAUUUCCCAAUGGAGAGGUUAUUGGGUAGCCUUGGCGUUUAGUUUUAAACACUACCAGAAGAAUGCUGAGCCAACAAUAAACACUCAACUUUGUAUGUUUUCCAAAUUGUACUUAUUACUGCUUUUGAUACUGUAUUCUGUGCCAAUAGUUUCCCAGUCACAUAGCAGGCAAGAGAUAUUUUGUACUUUUUGAUCCACUGUAAUAUUUAAUAAAAAAUGUUACUAUCUGUU